Phacochoerus africanus (Common warthog) is the source of this 104-nucleotide small nuclear RNA. The record is from RefSeq and is a predicted model, not a curated record. NCBI's taxonomy places the organism in Eukaryota, Metazoa, Chordata, Mammalia, Artiodactyla, Suidae.
CUGCUUUCUUCAGCAGCACAUAUACUAAAAUUGGAACAAUACAGAGAUUAGUAUGGCCCCAUGCAAGGAUUACUUUAAUUUAAAAAAAUCCCAUUUAAAAUUGU